CCUACGGGGGGCAGCAGUAGGGAAUCUUUCACAAUGGGCGAAAGCCUGAUGGAGCAACGCCGCGUGCAGGAUGAAGGCCUUCGGGUUGUAAACUGCUUUUAUAAGCGAGAAAUAUGAUGGUAACUUAUGAAUAAGGCUCGGCUAACUACGUGCCAGCAGCCGCGGUCAUACGUAGGAUCCGAGCAUUAUCCGGAGUGAAUGGGUGUAAAGAGUUGCGUAGGUGGGAUAAUAAGUAGCUAGUGAAAUCUGGUGGCUCAACCAUUCAGACUAUUAGCUAAACUGUUAAGCUCGAGACCGUUAGUGGUAACUGGAAUUUCUAGUGUAGGAGUGAAAUCCGUAGAUAUUAGAAGGAACACCAAUAGCGUAGGCAGGUUGCUGGGACGGUUCUGACACUAAGGCACGAAAGCGUAGGGAGCAAACGGGAUUAGAUACCCGAGUAGUC
This 442-nucleotide ribosomal RNA is filed under the name uncultured bacterium. RNAcentral describes it as "partial 16S ribosomal RNA". It matches the Rfam family "Bacterial small subunit ribosomal RNA", at positions 338 to 795 of the family's 1533-position model. The record is from RNAcentral.